AAAAAAAAAACGUGCAAAAAGAAAAAAAAAAGUAUUAAUGACUAAAAAUAAUAAUAAAAGUGUAACUUAAUCCGAUGGAAUAACGAUUGAACUCGUUUAUCUUUUUUCAUGUAUACAUUCCUUCUCCAAAAGUUUAUUACCCUGGUCUGGGAAUCGUUGAGAUGAACACAAAUUUUAGAAGGAGCUACUUCGUUAUAUUACUUCUGCAUUUAAAGAAACUGAAAUGAAAAAAACUCUAAACGUUCAGUGGAAAUUAUUCUCAAGUGGUGACGAUAAACAUACCAGAGAGUUGACGAGUUUAAAUCUCUUAAGAGAGAAUUUAUUUCAUUGUGUCACAAUAAUCUAUCAAUGUAAUGUCCACGUUCACGACAGUGUGUAAACGGAAACAAAAAAAAAAAAAAAAAAAAGAAACAAAAAGAAAAUUACAUAUAUAGAAAAUAGUAACUAAAAGUAUAAUUGUCUAAAAAAAAAAAAAAAAAAAAAAGAAAAAACAGUAUAAGAAGAACAACAAUGGGGAGGAAAAAAAAUUUCGCUCGAGUUAUGCUAAAAUCACAGUAAUUGUCAGAGAUUAAAUUGGACACCUGAUGGUUAAUCGGUGUAAUGAACGAAUAAUGAUCGUCAGUCCGAUUUAACGAAUAAAAAUAUAUGGCAGUCAUACCACAUUGACGUGUUCUUUUCUUUUUUCUAAUCGCAUUUGUAUCUGCUUUUAUUGUUUUCCUUUUUUUUUCGCUUUUUGUUUUUGUUUUUUUUU
This is a long non-coding RNA of Vespula pensylvanica (western yellowjacket), 751 nucleotides long. RefSeq lists it as uncharacterized. The record is from RefSeq and is a predicted model, not a curated record. NCBI's taxonomy places the organism in Eukaryota, Metazoa, Arthropoda, Insecta, Hymenoptera, Vespidae. The transcript has 2 exons.